AUGCUGGAAUGCUACUAGGCCGAAAACUCCGGUGCCUUAGGAUUGGUCUGCGGUCUAUCAGGCAGUAGUGGGUGUAAUGGACCCACUAGCCCGUGACGGAUAUGGGCCUUGAGAGAGGGAGCCCAGAGAUGGACUCUGAGACAUGAGUCCAGGCCCUACGGGGCGCAGCAGUCGCGAAAACUUCGCAAUGGGGGAAACCCCGACGAGGGAAUUCCAAGUGCCAGCACUUUGUGUUGGCUGUUCUUCUGUCUAAAAAACAGGAGAAGUAAGGGGCGGGUAAGACGGGUGCCAGCCGCCGCGGUAAUACCCGCGCCCCAAGUGGUGGUCGAUAUUAUUGAGCCUAAAACGUCCGUAGCCGGUCUUCUAAAUCCUUGGGUAAAUCGGGCAGCUCAACUGUCCGAAUUCCGGGGAGACUGGGAGACUUGGGACCGGGAGAGGUCAGAGGUGCUUCUGGGGUAGGGGUAAAAUCCUGUAAUCCUGGAAGGACCACCGGUGGCGAAGGCGCCUGACUAGAACGGAUCCGACGGUGAGGGACGAAGCCCUGGGGCGCAAACGGGAUUAGAUACCCCGGUAGUCCAGGGUGUAAACGCUGCGGGCUUGGUGUUGGGGGUCCUUAGUGGGCGCCCAGUGC
RNAcentral lists this ribosomal RNA (631 nucleotides) under uncultured archaeon. Its description in RNAcentral is "bacterial SSU rRNA". It matches the Rfam family "Archaeal small subunit ribosomal RNA", at positions 167 to 801 of the family's 1478-position model. The record is from RNAcentral.